AACCUUACCUGGCAGGGGAGAUACCACAAUCAAUGGGUUUUCCCAGGAUGAGGCCUGUCCAUUGCACUUCGGGCAGGCAGGCUGACCCCUGUGAAUUUCUCUAAUACUUGACUAAAGAAUUUUGUGGUAGUGGGGGUGUUUGUACCCUGG
This 150-nucleotide small nuclear RNA is filed under the name Crocodylus porosus (Australian saltwater crocodile). Its description in RNAcentral is "U1 spliceosomal RNA (ENSCPRG00005007879.1)". It matches the Rfam family "U1 spliceosomal RNA". Rfam says of the family: U1 is a small nuclear RNA (snRNA) component of the spliceosome (involved in pre-mRNA splicing). Its 5' end forms complementary base pairs with the 5' splice junction, thus defining the 5' donor site of an intron. Lineage: Eukaryota; Metazoa; Chordata; Crocodylia; Crocodylidae. The record is from RNAcentral.